AGCUCCAAUAGCGUAUAUUAAAGUUGUUGCAGUUAAAAAGCUCGUAGUUGAAACUUGGGCCUGGCUGGCCGGUCCGCCUCACCGCGUGUACUGGUCCGGCCGGGCCUUUCCUUCUGGGGAAGCUCAUGGCCUUCACUGGGUGUGUGGGGGAACCAGGACUUUUACUUUGAAAAAAUUAGAGUGUUCAAAGCAGGCCUUUGCUCGAAUACAUUAGCAUGGAAUAAUAGAAUAGGACGUGCGGUUCUAUUU
RNAcentral lists this ribosomal RNA (249 nucleotides) under uncultured Dothideomycetes. RNAcentral's name for it is "partial small subunit ribosomal RNA". It matches the Rfam family "Eukaryotic small subunit ribosomal RNA", at positions 587 to 842 of the family's 1831-position model. The record is from RNAcentral. Lineage: Eukaryota; Fungi; Ascomycota; Dothideomycetes.